CUGUUUCGGCAAGGGGGUCAUCCCGACUUACCAACCCGAUGCAAACUGCGAAUACCGGAGAAUGUUAUCACGGGAGACACACGGCGGGUGCUAACGUCCGUCGUGAAGAGGGAAACAACCCAGACCGCCAGCUAAGGUCCCAAAGUCAUGGUUAAGUGGGAAACGAUGUGGGAAGGCCCAGACAGCCAGGAUGUUGGCUUAGAAGCAGCCAUCAUUUAAAGAAAGCGUAAUAGCUCACUGGUCGAGUCGGCCUGCGCGGAAGAUGUAACGGGGCUAAACCAUGCACCGAAGCUGCGGCAGCGACGCUGAUGCGUUGUUGGGUAGGGGAGCGUUCUGUAAGCCUGCGAAGGUGUGCUGUGAGGCAUGCUGGAGGUAUCAGAAGUGCGAAUGCUGACAUAAGUAACGAUAAAGCGGGUGAAAAGCCCGCUCGCCGGAAGACCAAGGGUUCCUGUCCAACGUUAAUCGGGGCAGGGUGAGUCGACCCCUAAGGCGAGGCCGAAAGGCGUAGUCGAUGGGAAACAGGUUAAUAUUCCUGUACUUGGUGUUACUGCGAAGGGGGGACGGAGAAGGCUAUGUUGGCCGGGCGACGGUUGUCCCGGUUUAAGCGUGUAGGCUGGUUUUCCAGGCAAAUCCGGAAAAUCAAGGCUGAGGCGUGAUGACGAGGCACUACGGUGCUGAAGCAACAAAUGCCCUGCUUCCAGGAAAAGCCUCUAAGCAUCAGGUAACAUCAAAUCGUACCCCAAACCGACACAGGUGGUCAGGUAGAGAAUACCAAGGCGCUUGAGAGAACUCGGGUGAAGGAACUAGGCAAAAUGGUGCCGUAACUUCGGGAGAAGGCACGCUGAUAUGUAGGUGAGGUCCCUCGCGGAUGGAGCUGAAAUCAGUCGAAGAUACCAGCUGGCUGCAACUGUUUAUUAAAAACACAGCACUGUGCAAACACGAAAGUGGACGUAUACGGUGUGACGCCUGCCCGGUGCCGGAAGGUUAAUUGAUGGGGUUAGCCGCAAGGCGAAGCUCUUGAUCGAAGCCCCGGUAAACGGCGGCCGUAACUAUAACGGUCCUAAGGUAGCGAAAUUCCUUGUCGGGUAAGUUCCGACCUGCACGAAUGGCGUAAUGAUGGCCAGGCUGUCUCCACCCGAGACUCAGUGAAAUUGAACUCGCUGUGAAGAUGCAGUGUACCCGCGGCAAGACGGAAAGACCCCGUGAACCUUUACUAUAGCUUGACACUGAACAUUGAGCCUUGAUGUGUAGGAUAGGUGGGAGGCUUUGAAGUGUGGACGCCAGUCUGCAUGGAGCCGACCUUGAAAUACCACCCUUUAAUGUUUGAUGUUCUAACGUUGACCCGUGAUCCGGGUUGCGGACAGUGUCUGGUGGGUAGUUUGACUGGGGCGGUCUCCUCCUAAAGAGUAACGGAGGAGCACGAAGGUUGGCUAAUCCUGGUCGGACAUCAGGAGGUUAGUGCAAUGGCAUAAGCCAGCUUGACUGCGAGCGUGACGGCGCGAGCAGGUGCGAAAGCAGGUCAUAGUGAUCCGGUGGUUCUGAAUGGAAGGGCCAUCGCUCAACGGAUAAAAGGUACUCCGGGGAUAACAGGCUGAUACCGCCCAAGAGUUCAUAUCGACGGCGGUGUUUGGCACCUCGAUGUCGGCUCAUCACAUCCUGGGGCUGAAGUAGGUCCCAAGGGUAUGGCUGUUCGCCAUUUAAAGUGGUACGCGAGCUGGGUUUAGAACGUCGUGAGACAGUUCGGUCCCUAUCUGCCGUGGGCGCUGGAGAACUGAGGGGGGCUGCUCCUAGUACGAGAGGACCGGAGUGGACGCAUCACUGGUGUUCGGGUUGUCAUGCCAAUGGCACUGCCCGGUAGCUAAAUGCGGAAGAGAUAAGUGCUGAAAGCAUCUAAGCACGAAACUUGCCCCGAGAUGAGUUCUCCCUGACUCCUUGAGAGUCCUGAAGGAACGUUGAAGACGACGACGUUGAUAGGCCGGGUGUGUAAGCGCAGCGAUGCGUUGAGCUAACCGGUACUAAUGAACCGUGAGGCUUAACCUU
Molecule: ribosomal RNA, 2040 nt
Filed under: Escherichia coli 1-110-08_S4_C2
Lineage: Bacteria; Pseudomonadati; Pseudomonadota; Gammaproteobacteria; Enterobacterales; Enterobacteriaceae
Description: bacterial LSU rRNA
Rfam family: Bacterial large subunit ribosomal RNA
Source: RNAcentral